Petromyzon marinus (sea lamprey) is the source of this 3838-nucleotide RNA transcript. It is a transcript of the gene named C-Jun-amino-terminal kinase-interacting protein 1-like, with no coding region annotated. The record is from RefSeq and is a predicted model, not a curated record. Lineage: Eukaryota; Metazoa; Chordata; Hyperoartia; Petromyzontiformes; Petromyzontidae.
UCGUUGCGUCAGUGCGUGCGGGGUGAUAACGGGCGUGGUUGCAAUAUCGAGGCGCGCAGUGUGAUGACAGGCGGCGCAGGCGAUUUUCGUUCCGAGUGGUUUAGAAGGCCCCCCCCCCCGCCACGCCGCCCCCCUCACGGUGGCUCUAGUUGAAUAAUAUUUAUAGAGAGCAAAUAACGUACGUGUUUAUUUAUGUGCAUAUCCGUACCGUGAAAUAAUGAUUAUGACUGCGAACAACGACGGCGAGGACGUGAUGCAAGAAUCGCAGCUGCAUCGAGGAAGAAGGCUAUAGUCGGGGACGUGUACAAGCAGAAUAAGAUCGGAUUUUUCUCUCCCUCCCCCCCCUCUCCACCCGCCUCUGUCUUCCAUUGUGGUUAGAAUUAAAUUAUCUCGGGAUGGAAUUGACAGAGAUGAGCUCGCCUUUGGUGGCGUUGAAUCAUCAUUCCUCGCCAGCAAAACACAGGCUGGCUCACGAACUCAGCCUGGAUGAGUUUGAGGACGAUGACCUUUCCGAGAUCGCAAAGGACUGUGGGAUGGGAACGCACUACCGUGGCAACUGCUAUCACGCGGUGGCGGACGUCGGCACGGCGGGCAGCUCCAUCCACGCCGAGAUGCUGCAGCUGGACAUGAUCGACGACGUCGCGUCGGCCACCGUCACGUCGGGGACGGCGCCGGCAGACGACGGCGGCGACGGCGGCGACGGCGACGGCCGAACGGCGUCGCCUCCGGCGCCCGCCGGAGGCUCCGGUAGAGACGCUCGACGGGACGCGGCGACGGCGCCGGCGGCCAAGGCGGCGACGGCGGCGGCGGCCAAGGCGGCCAGGGCGGGCGAGCUGCCCUGGGGCCCGGGCGGCGAGGGGGCACGGCCGCCCCCGGCGCGCACGCUCCGGCGGCCCACCUCGCUCGACCUUUUCCCGCGCCACGCCACCUCGCCGCCCCGCGUCACGCAGGACUGCCUUAACAACAAUCCCAUUGUAAAGAAAGACAGCUGGCAGGAGCGGAUCACAAGGGUGGGCACGCCUCCACGCACCGGGCCGCAGACCCCCCCGCGCGACGAGGUGGAGAUCCCCCUGACGCCGCUCAAGAGCGACGGCGCCGCUACGGCUCCGGCGGGCGCGGCGCUCGGCUACUCGAAAUCUUCCUCCUCCUCGUCCUCGUCCUCAUCCUCCUCCUCCUCCUCCUCGUCGUCCUCGUCGUUGUCGUCGUCGGCGCAGGCGACGGCGCUGCCGCCGUCGUCGUCGUCGUUCUCCGCGAUGACGGCGGCGACGAUGGCGACGAUGACGGCGAUGAUGGCGAGCACCAUCGAGGAGGGCGAGGAGAGCGCCGAGCAGGAGUUGGACGACGUCUCCGAGCUGCCCGGCGGGCGGUGCGACGGCCGCGGCUCCCCGGGCCCCCAGCGGAUGUCCGUCAGCUCGGACCACGACGUGCGGCCGGGCGACGAGGCCCCGGCGCAGCAGCCGUCGUCGGCGAGCGAAGCUGCUGCGGUGACGACGGCGGCUGCGGCAAGGAGGAGGAGCCGCCUGCGUCUGCUGUCCGACCUGGAGGUGACGCGCUGCUCCCUGCCGAUGAGGGCGAGCCUGUCGAGCGACGUCGGGGCCUCCGAUUCGGGAACCGCGGGAGCGAGCGUCGGCCACGCGAGAAAACGCGGCGACGGCGGCGGCGGCAAUGAAGGCGGCGGCAAUGAAGGCGGCGGCGGCGGCGACGGCGGCGACGACGGCGGCUACGGCGGCUGCGACGACGGCGACGACGGCGUCGUCGACGACGACGACGACGACGACGUUCUGUUCUUCCCGCCGUCGGCCGUGCAGCGCGUGUCGAUCGACAGCGAGGGCCCACGCUCGUACCACGCCGUCAAGUACACCCUGGUCGUGGACGAGGGCACCCAGCUGGAGCUCGUCGGUGGGGAGUUCCGACGCAGCGAGUCGUGCCCCAGCGACGACGAUGGCGACGACGAGGUGGGCGGCGACGACGAGGACCGCGCGACCUGCGGGAAGGGCGACGACCGCAGCAUCGGGUCGCUGACCCUGUACGACAACCUGAGGUCGCCCUUCGAGCCCGACUCGGCGUUCGACCCCGACUCGAUGUUCGACCCCGACUCGGCCUUCGACCCGGUCGACCUGGACACGACCUUCGACAACGAGGCGGAGCCCGCCUUCGGUCGCCACCUCGACCUCGACCCCGACCUGGAGCUCGAGCUGGACCUCGACCCCGAGGGCCCGCCCUUCGACCCGGCCGUGGGCGAGGAGUACGAGGAGGUGACGCGCGACUCCCUCUGCCUGUCGAGCCACGCCACUCCGGAGCCCGUCGGGGAGGUGGUGACCUUCACGCGCAAGUUCCUCAACGUGGUUCUGAGCGGCACGGCGCGCUCUUGCAGGUCAUUUGGAUUCUUCUCGUGUACCAUCGAUGGAAUUUGGAGAGAACAAACCCACAGAGCCGUGCACAAGUUCCAGCCCAGGCAUGUGGACGAGCUGGAGCUAGAUUCGGACGACCCCGUGUUUGUUGAGGUGCGAUCGGCCGAUGGCUGGCUGACGGGGUACAACAUGCGCACGGGCGAGCGCGGCAUCUUCCCCUCGCUCUACACGCAGAGGGUGCACAAGGAGCCGGAGCUACUGCCUCAUAAGAAGCGGAGGGAUUGGUUUGAGAUCUUUGACCUCCAAUUCCUGGGCUCGGUGGAGGUUCCUCAUCACCAGGGCAACGACGUCCUCUAUGCAGCCAUGCAGAAGGUGGCUUCCAGCCGUCGCGCGGUUGCCGGACUCAAGCCGACGUUGCCGUGCUCGUUGGAGGUGGGCGCGCGAGGGCUCCGCCUCACGGUGACCGGCGCUCGGCAUGCGCCGGCGCCGCAGCGCAACGGCUUCCACAAACACAAGCCGAUCAAGAACUUCAGCCACUUUUUCCAGCUGAAGAAUAUUUCCUUCUGUGGUUUCCACCCCAAAAACCCAUGCUACUUUGGGUUCAUCUGCAAGCACCCGGCGGAAGGCAGGUUCGCGUGCCACGUGCUCGUCUCCACUCAGUCCACCAAGCCCAUCGCAGAGUGCUUCGGGAAAGCUUUUCAGCAGUUUUACCACGACUGUAUGGAUUACAACUGCCCGGUUGAAGAUAUUUUUCUGGAAUGAAGCUACGUAGCGGUGUACUACCUGUGUGCAGUGCACUUAUAUCACCAGUGCACGAAUUUUCUCCUAACGUGAAGAAGCGGCCACUCCUUUACCUCCACGUUCCCCGGGGGGCACUUUUUGUGUUUCGUCCAACAUCGCGUUCGAGCCGGAAGCCAGUUGGUGACCGAGGAGGAGGAGGAGGAUGGGGUAUGAUCGUUGAAGAGUCGUCGUGCGGUUUGAUGUAGAAGGCCUCGUUAAAGAGUCCCUCCCGGCUUGAUGUACAAGGCUCUCGAGGCUGUGCAUAUCGGUGGGUUUCCCUAAAUGCUCCCCAGCUCUUCCAGAUUGCAGAGAGUAUCCGUCUUUUAAUGCUCGUCGGUUAAUUGUCUGUGUGCUUAAAACGAAACAACAACAACAACGCAAAACCACCACAAUUAUUUAAAAAAAAAUAAUUAUGGAACACGCCAUUGAACAUGCCAAAAUAGCUCUUCAAGUGGAUUGUGUUUUUUUUUUAUUUCAAUUCUUUUUUUAAACUAUAUAUAUUUCACCCGUAAGUGAGAAGGAUGAGGAAGAGGAAUUACUUGCUCAGACGUUUUGAACAUACACAAGGAAGCUUGCGUUACAGCUGUAAUUAUUCACUCCGUCCUCGGGGGUUUUCUCAUGGAUCUGGAAGAGCUGCACACACAUUGUAUGCGAACGCUCGUUGCUGUUUAAGUGGUUCAAAUAAAGGCCUUCCUUUCUACACACAA